GUCAGGACAGCCCAGUGGUCUAAGGCACCAGACUCAAGGUUUCCCUUCCUGCGUUCGGGGUUUCUGAUCUCCAAACGCAGGCGAGGGUUUGAAUCCCACUUCUGACA
This 107-nucleotide transfer RNA is filed under the name Loxodonta africana (African savanna elephant). It matches the Rfam family "tRNA". From Rfam's summary of the family: Transfer RNA (tRNA) molecules are approximately 80 nucleotides in length. The record is from Rfam by way of RNAcentral. Lineage: Eukaryota; Metazoa; Chordata; Mammalia; Proboscidea; Elephantidae.